Molecule: long non-coding RNA, 296 nt
Filed under: Homo sapiens (human)
Lineage: Eukaryota; Metazoa; Chordata; Mammalia; Primates; Hominidae
Description: non-protein coding lnc-VSTM2B-5:19
Source: RNAcentral
CUCAGCUGCUGGCUGGAACUCCCGGAGGACUCUGUGAGGAUGCAGGUAGAAGAGGGAAGCCCACCAGAGCCCUCUUCUCUCUGGGGAGGAGCUGGCUCCCUGAAUCUCCAAGACAAACCCAGACAGCCCUGGGGACCUUGAAUGUGAGCAAGGGGAGCAGAAAGGAGGCUCCAGCCCACCCAGGGCCCCUGCAGGGUCUGCACACACAAUUACAGGUCCUCAUUUCCCUCUCCUAAUGAUGCCCCAAAACAUUAAGGGAAGUUAAAUCAAACCACCAGGUGUCCAGCAUGAACAGC